CUUUUAAGGCCGCACCCACGGCAUACGGAGGUUCCCAGGCUAGGGGUCGAAUCAGAGCUGUUGCUGCCAGCCUACACCACAGCCACAGCAACAUGGGAUCCGAGCCACAUCUGAGACCUACACCACAGAUCACAGCAACACCAGAUCCUUAACCCUCUGAGCAAUGCCAGGGAUUGAAUCUGUGUCCUCAUGGAUGGUAGUCAGAUUCUUCUGGAUUCUGGUUGGGCUGGAUGCCCCCAAGUUUCAGGUCUCAGGUUGACCAGAGCAGUAGUAGAUCUGUUCCUCCUUAAGCCUCAGAAGAUAUGAGCUGAUAAACAAAGCUAAGAGUUGGUUAUGAAAAAAGAAAGAGGACACUUCUCUGCCAAACUUACUGUUCUUAUUUUGCAUCAUCACAGGAUGUUGAUUAUUUCAGGAUUCACAUCCAAGACUCUAUUGAAUAUAAACUAAUUAUUACCUCAAUCACUGCUAUUUAUAGUUACUUUGCCUCCAAGAAAUUUAGAGGAAGAUUUAAUUAAGUAAGAAGGCUUGACAAGGCAAUGUAUUUCUGAGAAGUUGUAGCAUGCUACAAAUGGCGACAUGAGGGCAAAUGCCAAUGGUUUUAUCCUCAAAUGAACUGUAAUAACUUCCCUGAAGUGCUCCCUUUGGAACUUCCAAUUGUUAUAAAAUGGAAUUUAUAAUUAAAUGAAGAAAUGAACACAGUGUGCUGAACUAAAAUGGAAGUCUAGGAAACUCCAACUUUUUUUUCAGUAUAAAUAAACACAAAGAAGGGAAUAAAAGAGAACUAAUAUUAUCCUAAAGUGUGUUGAGGACUUUCAUAGAUAAGAUAGUGUAUUAGACAAUUAUACUUUCAGCAUUUAAGGUAGAACUCACAAUGGUACAAUGAAGAAUGUUCAUUAAAUAAGUGGGAGAUUAAAGUAUUAAGUACAAUGGCAAUGUAUGCCAGUGAGUGGAUUUAUUAAAGGGGGAUGUGGGGAUAAAUAACAGCAAAUACUUUCCGCAGCCUAAGGCCAGACAUUGGAAAACAUAUCCAGGAAAAACUUACUUAUUUAUAAUCGAGGCCUUAGGGAUGACUAUGACUCUUCCAGGUACACUGUCAACUUGUCCACCUUUGCUCCAGGUUCUGUAUGUUCUCUCAUGAUGACUCAAAUACAUCUUGCCCCUGUUUCUAUGUCACCUUUGAUAUAAUCCAAAUAACAUUUUCUAUGGGUUUUUAAUUUAAAAUCAAGGAAAAUUCAGGCACCAUUAUAACCUAUUUAAAAAGAAAUCUGGCAUCGGAAUCAGAAAAUUGCUGUAAUCCUGCUACUUGGCAUUAUUAUUUUUGAUAAACCAUGCUUCAGUUUUCCCAACUAAAAAAAAGUAUAUUACUCUCUACCAUGAAGAGCUGUUAUACACAUUAGGCAUAACUCUGCUAAAUUUUUGCCCAGUACUUGGUAAAAGGCAAGAUCACAAUGUAUGGUAUCACUUAUUUUUAUUAUCUUUUGGAUCUGCCAUUCUUGGUCAAGUAUCAUCUAGUACAAAGGGUGAGUAUACAUGCCUGGAUUAUUGGCCAACUGGGGGACCGAUGUAGGACUAUCAAUGGUGGUCAGAAUAGUAGGGUCCUGGGAUAAACUGUACUAGCAAUGGCUGUCUAGCUGGGCUACUUAACAAAGUUCUAGGUUUCAGAUGUUAUCCUAAAGUGGGCUGGCACAAUCAUAGUUUUGCUAGUUCACUGUAGCAUCUCCAAAAAGACAACUGGUGGCAGGCUUGACCAGCUACAAUGAUUUCUUUGUAGAGAAUCUCAUCAGUGCAUAUGGUCCAAAGUUAGCAUAAUAGUUCACAAUUAAAUGUUUUACUGUAAAUCUUCCAACAAUUUUCUUUCUCUUUUGAAGAGAAAUUAUUAAUGGACUAAGUCCCACAAAUGAAAGAAUACCUCUUUGCUAAGUUUGAAACCCACUCCAAACUGACAAAUCGGAGCUUUGAAGGCUAAAUAAAAUGUUUUUGGAUUUUGCUAUCAUUUACCCAUAACCAAACCUAACUUCCUAUUUUGGUGGAGAAAAUUAACACUAACCCUCAUUUGAAAAUCCCCAAAGAUUUUUUCAGAUACCGCAAGUCAUUUUCAGACCAAAAGCUGGAAGAACAAGCAUAAAUAAAUCAAGACAUGUGGGAUUUGUUUCCUUUUAAAAAUGUGCAUUAAUUUUUUUAAAAGUUCAGGCAAAGUCCAUUUGAAAACUUCUAAGAGUUGUACCAAGCCAAAGACGUGU
Molecule: long non-coding RNA, 2240 nt
Filed under: Sus scrofa (pig)
Lineage: Eukaryota; Metazoa; Chordata; Mammalia; Artiodactyla; Suidae
Also listed under: 1 other name
Description: lncRNA (ENSSSCG00000056462.1)
Source: RNAcentral